Molecule: long non-coding RNA, 680 nt
Organism: Glossina fuscipes
Lineage: Eukaryota; Metazoa; Arthropoda; Insecta; Diptera; Glossinidae
Exons: 4
Source: RefSeq, a predicted model, not a curated record
UUUCUCUUCGAUGUAGUUAUUUAAAAAUUGCUAUAAGAAGCUAUAUAUUAUCGAAGUGGUGUUGUAGAGACAUUUUUUUUUUUGUUUAAAAUACAGAUGUUCCUAUUGCUGCGGUUUUUAGGAAGAAAAGUGUUGGCCUACCAAAAUAGAUAUGAAAGAGACGUUUGCUAUCUACACGAAUAUAUAAAGUAUAUAUCAGGCUCUUCAAAUGCGCUGAUUAUCAGCUUGAAAAAAGAGGGACGUCAGGAGCCCACAUGGAAAGAUAGAAUGGCUGAUCAAGACAAAAAAAAUUGGUCAUGAACUGAUUAUUUGACUCGUGACAAUAAUUCUAGGCAUAAGAUUGGCUGAUUACCGUUAGUUAGCAAUUUAGAGAACUUGGUUUGGCGGUCAAUGCCUAACGGAGUAAAACCAAACAGGCGAAUAUUGUAAGAUACAAUACAGUACGCGACUGUAAUACCCGAUCUCAAUGAUAAAGCAAUUCAUAAGACACUGCAUGCCCUCAAAAGAUAAUUGGUGAAUAGAUUUACGGCGUUAAGAUGAGAAAAACUUCUGGUUAACGAUAGAGAAUAUUUUUAAUAACGUGUAUUUUCUACUUUUCGUUAUCUUUCUACGUUUUCUUUUGUCUUUUAUACUUCUUUUUUAAACAAAAAGGAAAAAUUGUCCGAAAUUACAUUAAAGCA